This 574-nucleotide small RNA is filed under the name Pongo abelii (Sumatran orangutan). RNAcentral's name for it is "retained intron". Lineage: Eukaryota; Metazoa; Chordata; Mammalia; Primates; Hominidae. The record is from RNAcentral.
GUUUAUGAUAAUUACAAGUAUAUUCCCUAAGUAUUUUUAAUGGUAAUCAGACUCAGGUCUUCCAUCUUUUGUGGUUCACACCAACUCACGUUUUAUUUCUUUUUGCAAAAGGCCACAAUUUUUGUAAAUUCUAAUUGUAUUAUUUUAAAUAUUAAAAUGUAUAGCUUUAUUAUUGCUUAAAAUGUUGUUCUAGUUUUGCUGGUAUGUUACUAACACUGGGCACUUAUUUUUUUUAACCUUGCACAUUUGCUUUUAUAAUAUUCAUAAAUCAUCACUUUCAGAAUGUGAGCAGAGUCGGGUUGCAAAGUGAAUUUUCUCCUUACUAAUUUGGAAUUUGUCUUUAAACAUAGGUAUUUUGGCCUCUCCCCAGUCUGCUCCUGGAAACUUGGACAAUAGUAAAAGUGGAGAAAUUAAAGGUAAUGGAAGUGGUGGAAGCAGAGAAAAUAGUACUGUUGACUUCAGCAAGGUUGAUAUGAAUUUCAUGAGAAAAAUUCCUACGGGUGCUGAGGCAUCCAACGUCCUGGUGGGCGAAGUAGACUUUUUGGAAAGGCCUAUAAUUGCAUUUGUGAGACUG